GUGGCUGUAGCUCAGCAGGUAGAGCCCCGGAUUGUGAUUCCGGUUGUCGUGGGUUCGAGCCCCAUCAGCCACCCCA
Molecule: transfer RNA, 76 nt
Filed under: Acidithiobacillus caldus
Lineage: Bacteria; Pseudomonadati; Pseudomonadota; Acidithiobacillia; Acidithiobacillales; Acidithiobacillaceae
Also listed under: 5 other names
Description: tRNA-His
Rfam family: tRNA
About the family: Transfer RNA (tRNA) molecules are approximately 80 nucleotides in length. Their secondary structure includes four short double-helical elements and three loops (D, anti-codon, and T loops).
Source: RNAcentral